UGGAAACCCUAAAACCAAUUCUCUCCGCCUCUUUGUUUCAAACUCACACACCCACACGCCGUGAACAACAACAGCGAUUGUUCUCUCCUCACUCUUCUGCUCGCGAUGAACACGAAACAUAGCAACAUAAUACUCUGUUCUCUCCACUCUCGAUUGUUUUCCGCCAUGACAGGAGCUCUUAGAACUCGGACGAACCCACACACCCACACGCCGUGAACAACAACAACGAAAUCCUCUCAACUGCGUCGCUCUCUAGCAAAAUCAAACAAAACGCAAACAGGAAAAACCCUAAUCCCCAAAUCAAACCCAACCCCAGGUAUACACUUUGCUCUUUAACUCGAUUCCUCCUCUUCAUUACUGUUCUUCGUGCUCAUCUCCUUCUUCUGCAUUUUCUUGUUCUGUUGUGUGUCUGCUGAUGUUGUAAUUUGGUGAGUCAUUUCAAUCUCUCUUCCUGAAACUUCUCCCAUCAGUUUCCUCUCUUCCCGAAACCACCGCUCUUCCUUCGUUAAACCACCUCUCUUCCUCCAUUUCCUCUCUUCGUUAAACCCUUUCCUCUCUUCCACCGUUUCAAUCUUGCUUCCUCUCUUUAUGGGUCUCCUCCAUUAAACCCUAAUCUUCUCUGUUUCUCCCUAAAUUUUCUCUGAAAAAAUCCCUAAUCUCCUUCAUCCCAAAAAAAUGUUCGAUUCUUCUUCAUCUUCGCCGUGACCGAGGAUCUUAGUCCAAAUAGGUUGAUGACUCUUCAACUGACUCGAUCGUUUCAUGGGGAAAAAACAAUAACACUUUUGUUGUUUUGAAUGCUACCGAUUUCGCGAAAUAUAUCUUGCCUAAGUAUUUUAAGCAUAACAACUUCUCAAGCUUUGUCAGGCAGUUGAACACAUAUCCUCUAUUUCAUGAUGGGAUGAAAUAAUGGAGUUGCUGCAAGAAAAGAAGUCAUGAUUUUAGCUUGUUUUUGGAAAUUCCAGGACACUUGCUGAAGGGGCAAUGGUUGGUUACACUGAGAAAGGAAUGCAAAAUUCUCAAGAUAUACUAGUAAGGAUGAAUGAAAGAAACUUUUUGAAGUUUGAAGUUUGAAAAAUGAAAAAGCACUUACUGAUAAGCCAAGCUGUUCAAUAAGCUUCUCAACUCUCUGCCUCUUAUCAGCAACUGGCAAUGGCCCCAAUCUGAAAUCAGCAGCAAACAUCAAAGUUUCAUAGACAGUAAGCAUAUGCAAGUUUUGUGUCAACUCACAGGCUUAUGCUUUAUGUCAAUCACAGCUUCAUGACCUUUGCUUAUGCUGGUUUCUUAAAGGAAAAUGGUGAAACACUGGUGACUUGGAAAAGGGCAGCGUCCAUGGAUGAGGUUCUCCAGGAGGCUGAUAUAAUUAGUCUUCAUCCUAUCCUGGACAAAACCACUUAUCAUCUAGUCAACAAGGAAAGACUUGCCAAGAUGAAGAAGGAAGCAAUUCUUAUAAACUGCAGUAGAAGACCUGUUAUUGAUGAAUCAUUCGUUUUGAAAUUAUACUUGGCUCACUGAAGCAUGAAUUUGUGUGGUGCAUCGUUCAUUUUGAAAUUGUACUUGGCUCACAGAAGCAUGAAUUUUAGCUGCUCCUGUUACUUUUGAACUGAGUAUAUUAUGCAACUGUUUGGAUUGGAUAGAUUAU
Long non-coding RNA from Vicia villosa (hairy vetch), 1639 nucleotides. RefSeq lists it as uncharacterized. The record is from RefSeq and is a predicted model, not a curated record. The transcript has 7 exons. Lineage: Eukaryota; Viridiplantae; Streptophyta; Magnoliopsida; Fabales; Fabaceae.